RNAcentral lists this ribosomal RNA (254 nucleotides) under uncultured bacterium. Its description in RNAcentral is "partial 16S ribosomal RNA". It matches the Rfam family "Bacterial small subunit ribosomal RNA", at positions 524 to 777 of the family's 1533-position model. The record is from RNAcentral.
UACGAAGGGGGCUAGCGUUGCCCGGAAUCACUGGGCGUAAAGGGUGCGUAGGCGGGUCUUUAAGUCAGGGGUGAAAUCCUGGAGCUCAACUCCAGAACUGCCUUUGAUACUGAGGAUCUUGAGUUCGGGAGAGGUGAGUGGAACUGCGAGUGUAGAGGUGAAAUUCGUAGAUAUUCGCAAGAACACCAGUGGCGAAGGCGGCUCACUGGCCCGAUACUGACGCUGAGGCACGAAAGCGUGGGGAGCAAACAGGG